AUUGAACGCUGGCGGAAUGCUUUACACAUGCAAGUCGAACGGCAGCACGGGGCAACCUGGUGGCGAGUGGCGAACGGGUGAGCAAUAUAUCGGAACGUGCCCAAUCGUGGGGGGAUAACGUAGCGAAAGUUACGCUAAUACCGCAUACGAUCUACGGAUGAAAGCGGGGGAUCGCAAGACCUCGCGCGAACGGAGCGGCCGAUAUCAGAUUAGGUAGUUGGUGGGGUAAAGGCUCACCAAGCCAACGAUCUGUAGCUGGUCUGAGAGGACGACCAGCCACACUAGAACUGAGACACGGUCCAGACUCCUACGGGAGGCAGCAGUGGGGAAUUUUGGACAAUGGGCGCAAGCCUGAUCCAGCCAUUCCGCGUGCAGGAUGAAGGCCUCGGGUUGUAACUGCUUUGUACGGUAACGAAACGGUCUGCCCUAAUACGGCAGGCUAAUGACGGUACCGUAAGAAUAAGACACCGGCUAACUACGUGCCAGCAGCCGCGGUAA
RNAcentral lists this ribosomal RNA (498 nucleotides) under uncultured bacterium. Its description in RNAcentral is "bacterial SSU rRNA". It matches the Rfam family "Bacterial small subunit ribosomal RNA", at positions 30 to 523 of the family's 1533-position model. The record is from RNAcentral.